Molecule: long non-coding RNA, 2012 nt
Organism: Phragmites australis (common reed)
Lineage: Eukaryota; Viridiplantae; Streptophyta; Magnoliopsida; Poales; Poaceae
Exons: 2
Source: RefSeq, a predicted model, not a curated record
UGUGAGGUCGGCCAACCGGCCACGUCGCUGGCCACCGAGGCUUCCAGUGCUUUCGGCCGACGCGUCACGCCAUCAAGGAGUCGCGCCGCACCUUCUUGCUGCCGCCGGCCUUAUCUCCCCCUGCCCUCUUUUCUCCCUCCCUCAUUUUGCUCUCCUCUCUGGGGUCAGGACAGAGCAGAGCACAAAGCAUGCACACGUGCCGCCACCGCUGAUACAAAUCCGCUGUGCCCCGACGAAAUCCCUCGAGCCCGAGCCGCAAGAACCCUGGAGGAAGGUCGCGCGGAGAGUCUUAGAGCAAAUCCCAGCGGCUCCCUCUCGAAUCCCCACCGAAUUUGGUGCGCCGGCCUCGUCUUCCCCGACUCCGGCGUCUCUCUCCGCCCUCACCGACGCACCGCCGGUCCGAAGCUCCUAUGCCCUAGCUGACCAUGCGUGAAUGACGAAAUAGAGAGUGACGUGGAAAAUAUCGAGAACCUGAUCUCGAAAUUGUUUGUGCAGCACCAAACAAGCAUCUAUCAUAUCUCUCCUAUAUUUUUAUGAAUUGUUGUCAAUUUGCUAGGUUUUGCUAUAUGUCGUAUAUGCAAGUCGAUGUCGAGAAUCGGGUAGAUCCUGUUUGUUGUAUCAUACCUACUUUGACAAAAGUUGUUAAUCCUGAUCCUUGUAGUUAGGGUAUAAUGUGUCAUGGUCUAACUUAAAAGUGAUGCGGUAAUUGCUUAGCUUUGCAUAGGUCCUUGGUAGAAGUUGAGCGGUGGUUGUCACCGUCGUUCACGAGCUACAGGAUUUUCAAUCACUGUUAUAAAGGAAUGGCAAGUUGGGAUGAUGAGUUGGUGAGAUUUGAGAUGAGAUGUGGGCGGGUAUCAGGGGUAGUUCGAGAGAGGAGACCCGUGUGUCAUAGAUCGCUUGCAUCGUUUAAGUACUGAUCGUUGGUGUCGUUGGUUUAAGCACUUUUCAUACUUACCAUAUGUCUAUUUAAUGGUAAGAUAAGCUGAUUAUCGUAUGCCGUGCUUACACUUGAUUUGCGGUCCUAUGAUGCGUAAGAAAAAGGAUGAGGAGAUGCAAGGUGGCAGGGAGCUAGAGGUGUUUGGGACACGCUCACGGUAACCCUGGUGUCAUAGGAGCAUGUGCAAGUAAAUAGUUUUGGGUAUGAGAAAAGUUAUCUUGUGGGUCAAGAGGAUGGACCCGAGUUGUGUGGGUAAAGAUGUAUUCUUACAGGGUGUAAUAUCAAUUCGAAUUGUUGCGCUCUCGGUCAUUAGCAUGCUUAAGUUUCAUUGGACAUCAGUCAUAGAGUUCCAUUCAGUGUGGGAAAUAGAAAGUAUGUGGGCUUUAGAAGCAUGUGCUGGUACUUAAUUGAGUUGAGCAAGUUUACUUCAUAAAAGUUUUUGUUUAUUGUUAGUCAAUGCUAGCUGUCCGGGUCAUCAUGUUGAUUAAAGUGCUUUUUCGCUAAAUCAAAUUAACUUUGUGGAUAUUUCUUACUAUUCAACUAAAUGUAUUAUCUUUGGAGUCGAGAUAGUAUAUAUCCAUAUUGUGUAAGUCUUACGUAUCUUUUAUAGUUAUGAUAGUAUAUACCCAUAUUAUGUAAGUCUUGCGAGUACCUUUGUACUUAAGGUGCUGCCUUUAAGUUGAUGCAAGUAACGAUGAAUUCGUGUAUAGCUACUUUUAUCCUGUCGAUGCCGGUGAUGGUCAGGAGUAGAGAGGAAUAUCUGAGUUAGUCCUGAUGGUGCCUUACCGGCGAUGACACCACUAGCCUUUUGUUUAUUUAUAUCUUUCCGGUGUGUAUGAAAACCUUGCUACUAAGUAGACAUAAUAUUUGUGAACAAGGUCUGUAAUAAAAGUUAAAACUUUUGCACUUUGUUUAUAUCUUGUGAUGAAACUAUGUUGUAAACGGUAUAUACUGAGAUCUUGGGCUUAAUUGAGCAUAUAUCAGGACUGUCGGAAUUACUCUCGUUUUAAUUGACUUAAUUGUCGUUUAAGCCGAGUGUAAUUUGAACGGGUCUGACAAUUCAAGUUCUGGUUAA